UAUUCUCUUACCAGUAGUGGAGCUUUCAGUGGUCUCUGCAGUGGGGCUCUCUGUGGUUUCCAAGCUCCCAGUGGGCUCAGCAGUUGGGAUCUCCUCUGUGGUUCUGUAGCUCUCAGUGGACUCAGCAGUUGGGAUCCUCUCUGUGGUUCUGUAGUUCUCAGUGGGCUUAGCAGUUGGGAUCUCCUCUGUGGUUCUGUAGCUCUCAGUGGACUCAGCAGCUGGGAUCUCCUCUGUGGUUCUGUAGCUCUCAGUGGACUCAGCAGUUGGGAUCCUCUCUGUGGUUCUGUAGUUCUCAGUGGACUCAGCAGCUGGGAUCCUCUCUGUGGUUCUGUAGUUCUCAGUGGACUCAGCAGCUGGGAUCCUCUCUGUGGUUCUGUAGUUCUCAGUGGGCUCAGCAGUUGGGAUCUCCUCUGUGGUUCUGUAGCUCUCAGUGGACUCAGCAGCUGGGAUCUCCUCUGUGGUUCUGUAGCUCUCAGUGGACUCAGCAGUUGGGAUCCUCUCUGUGGUUCUAUAGUUCUCAGUGGGCUCAGCAGUUGGGAUCUCCUCAGUGGUUCUGUAGCUCUCAGUGGACUCAGCAGCUGGGAUCUCCUCUGUGGUUCUGUAGCUCUCAGUGGACUCAGCAGCUGGGAUCUCCUCAGUGGUUCUGUAGCUCUCAGUGGACUCAGCAGCUGGGAUCUCCUCUGUGGUUCUGUAGCUCUCAGUGGACUCAGCAGCUGGGAUCUCCUCUGUGGUUCUGUAGCUCUCAGUGGACUCAGCAGUUGGGAUCCUCUCUGUGGUUCUGUAGUUCUCAGUGGGCUCAGCAGUUGGGAUCUCCUCAGUGGUUCUGUAGUUCUCAGUGGACUCAGCAGUUGGGGUCACCUCUGUAGUUCUGUAGCUCUCAGUGGACUCAGCAGUUGGGAUCUCCUCUGUGGUUCUGUAGCUCUCAGUGGACUCAGCAGUUGGGGUCUCCUCUGUGGUUCUGUAGCUCUCAGUGGACUCAGCAGUUGGGAUCCUCUCUGUGGUUCUGUAGUUCUCAGUGGGCUCAGCAGUUGGGAUCUCCUCAGUGGUUCUGUAGUUCUCAGUGGACUCAGCAGUUGGGAUCUCCUCUGUGGUUCUGUAGCUCUCAGUGGACUCAGCAGUUGGGGUCUCCUCUGUGGUUCUGUAGCUCUCAGUGGACUUGGCAGUUGGGAUCUCCUCUGUGGUUCUGUAGCUCUCAGUGGACUCAGCAGUUGGGAUCUCCUCUGUGGUUCUGUAGCUCUCAGUGGACUCGGCAGUUGGGAACUCCUCCGUGGUUGUCAGAAGUUCUGA
RNAcentral lists this long non-coding RNA (1287 nucleotides) under Monodelphis domestica (gray short-tailed opossum). RNAcentral's name for it is "lncRNA (ENSMODG00000048058.1)". Lineage: Eukaryota; Metazoa; Chordata; Mammalia; Didelphimorphia; Didelphidae. The record is from RNAcentral.